Long non-coding RNA from Limanda limanda (common dab), 689 nucleotides. RefSeq lists it as uncharacterized. Lineage: Eukaryota; Metazoa; Chordata; Actinopteri; Pleuronectiformes; Pleuronectidae. The record is from RefSeq and is a predicted model, not a curated record. The transcript has 4 exons.
GUCCAAUCAGAGCCUCGUAAACGCCGUGCAGCAGCGUCGAGUGUCCCGCAGACAGGAAGCGGGUCGUGUUUAGCUUGUCCCGUACGAGUGACUCUGUCUUCGGGGUAAAUAACUUGCUGAAGUCGACACGACACUGUUCCCUGGAGGAGAAGAUGAGUGCGUGUGGAGGCAGAGCCGCGGGCCCGGUGUGGACGAGUCGAGGCGGAGAAGACGGAAGCACAGUCCCUGAGUUACGCCUCAGCCCCCCCCCCCUCCACACACACACACACACACACAAACAAAGAGGCGUUAGGCUGAGACGCUGAAAGUCCGGAUUUAAAGUGCAGAAAAUUAAGCCAUUGAAUCUGCCUGUCCAUGACGUACAAAGACACACUAUGAGCCAGUAUGAUCCGACCAGACCUUACAUCAGCAUUGAGGAGUUGUCGGAGAAGAAAGAGGCUGAUUGAAGCGGGACAGAUGACAUGGAUCCAUCCUUCCACAGCCAGGAGUGCACCGACCUGUGUCCCACACUUCAUAUAAGACUGGAAGCUACACUGGAUCUCACAGCUACACACCACAGACGUCUACACACUGGAGAAGAGUCCCACAAAGAAGUCAUGACCCAGAGGCUGCAGAGAAACAUUUCAAGCCUCAUCUGAGUUUUUGUACAAUAUUUUUGCUGUAUGUAAAUAAAGCUUUCACUCCACAUA